AACCUCCGCAAUGUGAGAAAUCGCGACGGGGGGAUCCCAAGUGCCAUUCUUAACGGGAUGGCUUUUCAUUAGUGUAAAGAGCUUUUGGAAUAAGAGCUGGGCAAGACCGGUGCCAGCCGCCGCGGUAACACCGGCAGCUCUAGUGGUAACAAUUUUUAUUGGGCCUAAAGCGUCCGUAGCCGGUUUAAUAAGUCUCUGGUGAAAUCCUGUAGCUUAACUGUGGGAACUGCUGGAGAUACUAUUAGACUUGAGACCGGGAGAGGUUAGAGGUACUCCCAGGGUAGAGGUGAAAUUCUGUAAUCCUGGGAGGACCGCCUGUUGCGAAGGCGUCUAACUGGAACGGUUCUGACGGUGAGGGACGAAAGUUAGGGGCGCGAACCGGAUUAGAUACCCGGGUAGUCCUAACUGUAAACGAUGCGGACUUGGUGUUGGGGUGGCUUUGAGCUGCUCCAGUGCCGAAGGGAAGCUGUUAAGUCCGCCGCCUGGGAAGUACGGUCGCAAGACUGAAACUUAAAGGAAUU
RNAcentral lists this ribosomal RNA (521 nucleotides) under uncultured bacterium. RNAcentral describes it as "bacterial SSU rRNA". It matches the Rfam family "Archaeal small subunit ribosomal RNA", at positions 345 to 866 of the family's 1478-position model. The record is from RNAcentral.